CAAAGAGUGACCAAAAUUUCUGAUCUAAUCAUCCAAGAAGGCGCUCAAGGGGACCUUCAAGAGGAACUCGAAGUGGACGCCUAGACACUUGUUUGAGUAUUUACUCUCUUGUUGCAAUAGGACUGGGCUCGGUCGGGUAGGUUGGAACCCUGGGCCACCGUUUCGGUAUACUCGAGUAUUACCACUGGAGGGAUAAGGCGAUGGCCAGACUGUACCGUGGGGAUCGGAAGUCAUAAAGUGCAGAUGACCGACAGAGUUCCACUGGAACACCGUAUCCUACCGUAUAUGUUUACCUUGUAUCAUGAUAAUUGUUUCAUGCUAAAAUGUCAACAUGAAAUCCUGAGCCAUGCCUGUGAUAUGCUCCCUACCUGUUACCUGUCCAAUGUACUCAUAUCAUGAUACCUGUUUCAUGUUAAUGCUCCAUACCUGUAACAUGCUUAAUUACUCGCACCUGUAAUAAGCU
Molecule: non-coding RNA, 463 nt
Organism: Coffea arabica (coffee)
Lineage: Eukaryota; Viridiplantae; Streptophyta; Magnoliopsida; Gentianales; Rubiaceae
Source: RefSeq, a predicted model, not a curated record